CAGCCAGGUUUUAGCAGGCGUCUAGGAAAGACGUAUGGGCAGCGGACUGGAACAGGCUAACAGGCUAACGCUAACUUGGCCCCUCCGGAUUGUGGGACAGGGAGCCCCCAUGAGCUGUUCAUGCUGACCCGGCCUGCCUGCUGGGUGCGUGGGUCAGGUUGAUCAUGUGCACCACGAUCCUGAUCAUCUCGACCCUGUCAGUCAUUCUGCGCAGGCGAUUCAACAACCGAGUCAAACCCCAUCCGGACGAGCUGGGGGAGAAAGAGAUGGCAUACGUGCAGAGAGAACUGCAGCCCGUGGAGAAGUGAGGCUCCCCGCGCUGUCAGGGAUCAGUUCCAGGUACAUUGCUACAGUAAAGUUGGAUGUACGCCAGACCGACAUAGCCUUCUGAAACACGCACCUGUCAUCCUCUUCGGCCUCUAACGGAGUUCACCUGCAAUUUAUCCUCAGGCAGCAGCAACCAGUUGUGAAGACACGGAGAAGGUGACAGCCUUACAGGAUCGUGACUAGGGGCAGGACGUACUGAAUGGCAAUGAAAGAGCCUUGCCCUAACCAGAGGAACUCGACUCUAGCACACAGUGCAGAGUAUCAAUGUCUCGACUCAAGUUGCAAAUACAGAAACAGUGUCGGUCACCUGAGACUGAUAAGAGGGGGUGGUCUGGCCAGAAACCCCCAGCUCUGUUUGGGCCAUUUCCAAACACCAGUGGACUGGGACUGUCUGGGAGUCAGAAGGGAGAGAGCGGAUGCUUCUUCAGCAUGCCUGGAGCAGAGGAUAGAAGGGUGGCUUGUGCUCGCCUGCCAGGGCACUGGAGAGACGUGAGGGAGUGGAGCAUAGAGAAGAGACAGAGCCACAGAAUGUGGGUCCAGGAUGUCGAAAAUGUCCUCAGUUCAAUGGCUAGGCAACUGUGUGCUUCCCUGGAUAAAUAUCCUCGCCACGAGCCUGGGGAUGGCUCAAACCACUUCUCCCCUUCCUUCCAAGACUGGUUUGCCUCCCGUCAUCCAGCCCUUACUUACAGACAGCUGUAGGUCCUCUGCACCCACAGACUGAAGAGCCAUGGAACAUAUUGCUCAGCAGCUAAAAUGGACAAUGGCAAAAUUAAGCCUUCAUUGUUGAUUGAUUUGAAAUGUUUAUUGGUGUGAAUCAUCUAGAAACCACCAUAGAUAGUGCUGCCACAGAGGAGGAGUCAAAGAUAUUCAGUUAUAUGCCAGAGACACCAAAGCUCAUGAAAAUACAUUUCUACCCUUGUCUGACUCUCUCCAUUUCAGGACAUGCAUUGAAAGCAAAGAGGAACAAAGGGGAUGCAACCGUUCCAAAGCAUGAUGUGUACUCCUCUAUGAUAAGUUGCUGUUUGACAUUCUGGAGAGGUGUAAUCAUAUAAAGAAAAAGAUGUCUUCCAAGAGUUACACUCCAAUAAAGGAUGAUGAUAAGUCAAACAGAGACCAGAGUUUACAGUCUGGCCUUCUCUGGUCCAAGAGGCUAGAGACCAAUUCUUCCCUCACGCAAUCCUCCCCUCAAUUAAAUAAACUUGUGAUUUAUCUGA
Long non-coding RNA from Salmo salar (Atlantic salmon), 1541 nucleotides. RefSeq lists it as uncharacterized. The record is from RefSeq and is a predicted model, not a curated record. NCBI's taxonomy places the organism in Eukaryota, Metazoa, Chordata, Actinopteri, Salmoniformes, Salmonidae.